GACCCCAGAGGGCAGGGCGAUCCCCGGAGUGGCUGCGAUUCUGGAAGCCUCGGGCAGCGCUAAGCCCCGGGGAAUGGAAGCGAGGAGCGGUACUUACUUUCUGAGGAUGAAGAGACUGUGGUAUAAGAAGCAGAGCUGGAUUUUGUGAACAGAAUCCAUUUCCAUGUUCUUACCCAUCAUGUAUUUCUAAGAAGCACUGGUUCCAGAACCUGUCUGAUAAACAAGGAUUCUGUGAUGAAGUUAAGUUUAGGAGAUACUGGGUACUAUUGCCCUCUCACUGGCUCAUAUUUCCCACCAUGUUAAAGGCUGACUCUCAUGGAAAACAAACCUGUUUAACUCUUUUAACCCAGCA
Molecule: long non-coding RNA, 352 nt
Organism: Dama dama (fallow deer)
Lineage: Eukaryota; Metazoa; Chordata; Mammalia; Artiodactyla; Cervidae
Exons: 2
Source: RefSeq, a predicted model, not a curated record